Molecule: long non-coding RNA, 152 nt
Organism: Sphaerodactylus townsendi
Lineage: Eukaryota; Metazoa; Chordata; Lepidosauria; Squamata; Sphaerodactylidae
Exons: 3
Source: RefSeq, a predicted model, not a curated record
UUUAUUUAUAUAUUCGGUUUACGGACCGCCCUCCCCCUAAGGGCUCAGGGCGGUGAACAACAUAGAUAGAGCACAAUAUAUCAAAUCAAAUUAAAAUUCGUUAAGUUAAGUAAUACAGGAGGAAAUAAAGAUAAAAGAUAGACCUUCCCCAU